GUGGGGAAUAUUGGACAAUGGGCGCAAGCCUGAUCCAGCCAUGCCGCGUGAGUGAUGAAGGCCUUAGGGUUGUAAAGCUCUUUCAGUAGAGAAGAUAAUGACGGUACCUACAGAAGAAGCCCCGGCUAACUUCGUGCCAGCAGCCGCGGUAAUACGAAGGGGGCUAGCGUUGUUCGGAUUUACUGGGCGUAAAGCGCACGUAGGCGGAAUGUUAAGUCAGAGGUGAAAUCCUGGAGCUCAACUCCAGAACUGCCUUUGAUACUGGCAAGCUCGAGUCCGGAAGAGGUGAGUGGAACUCCUAGUGUAGAGGUGGAAUUCGUAGAUAUUAGGAAGAACACCAGUGGCGAAGGCGGCUCACUGGUCCGGUACUGACGCUGAGGUGCGAAAGCGUGGGGAGCAAACAGGAUUAGAAACCCUUGUAGUCC
This 425-nucleotide ribosomal RNA is filed under the name uncultured bacterium. Its description in RNAcentral is "partial 16S ribosomal RNA". It matches the Rfam family "Bacterial small subunit ribosomal RNA", at positions 354 to 796 of the family's 1533-position model. The record is from RNAcentral.